This 326-nucleotide RNase P RNA is filed under the name candidate division SR1 bacterium. RNAcentral describes it as "RNase P RNA component class A". It matches the Rfam family "Bacterial RNase P class A". From Rfam's summary of the family: Ribonuclease P (RNase P) is a ubiquitous endoribonuclease, found in archaea, bacteria and eukarya as well as chloroplasts and mitochondria. The record is from RNAcentral. Lineage: Bacteria; Candidatus Absconditibacteriota.
UCAGUCUAGGUACUGCACCUCAAAGGUGAGGAAAGUCCCGGCACGAAAAAACAGCUAGUAUCUAACGGAUACUGGAACAUCGCUCUUGCGGGCAAACGAAAGUGCCACAGAGAUUAAACUAUCCUCUUAUUAGGAGGAGAAAGGUGAAACAGUAGGGUAGCUUAGUUCUAAGCUUACCUACACUCAAUCAGAUUGAUGAUCUGAUGAGCGGUAAACCGUAGCUCGUGCAAGCUUGCUAUACUUGGUAUAGAAGUGCAAUACUACUCCUCUAAGGAGCAAUAGAUAAAUAGUACCUAAUACAGAACCGGGCUUAUUGGACUGAUAUA